RNAcentral lists this ribosomal RNA (447 nucleotides) under uncultured bacterium. RNAcentral describes it as "SSU rRNA". It matches the Rfam family "Bacterial small subunit ribosomal RNA", at positions 26 to 518 of the family's 1533-position model. The record is from RNAcentral.
AGAGCGAACGCUGGCGGCAGGCUUAACACAUGCAAGUCGAGCGGGCGUAGCAAUACGUCAGCGGCAGACGGGUGAGUAACGCGUGGGAACGUACCUUUGGUUCGGAACAACCCAGGGAAACUUGGGCUAAUACCGGAUAAGCCCUUACGGGGAAAGAUUUAUCGCCGAAAGAUCGGCCCGCGUCUGAUUAGCUAGUUGGUGAGGUAAUGGCUCACCAAGGCGACGAUCAGUAGCUGGUCUGAGAGGAUGAUCAGCCACAUUGGGACUGAGACACGGCCCAAACUCCUACGGGAGGCAGCAGUGGGGAAUAUUGGACAAUGGGCGCAAGCCUGAUCCAGCCAUGCCGCGUGAGUGAUGAAGGCCCUAGGGUUGUAAAGCUCUUUCGUCAGGGACGAUAAUGACGGUACCUGAAGAAGAAGCCCCGGCUAACUUCGUGCCAGCAGCCGC